Molecule: long non-coding RNA, 405 nt
Filed under: Pogona vitticeps (central bearded dragon)
Lineage: Eukaryota; Metazoa; Chordata; Lepidosauria; Squamata; Agamidae
Description: lncRNA (ENSPVIG00000008798.1)
Source: RNAcentral
CUGCUUUAUGUAUAAACGAUUCUCUUUCUUAAUUGAUAAUAGUUUCUCUUCUUAGGCAUGAGAUGCCUAUGUCAUGAUGCAAGACCUGUACUUUCCAGGAAUUUCAUCAAGCUAACUAAAGAGAGGAAAUACAAAGUCUGUUUAUACUAAAGUUUUUGAUGUACUAUUCAGCUGCCAUAUUCAUAAUAGCAGUGGGAACAUAAAGAACAACAAUCUAAAGGAAGACAAAUCCUAUGUUUAAUGCAUCAUUACAAAGGCAGGGAAGAAUCAGAGAAGAUGAUGAGAAUUUGCUGGGGAAAUUCUCCUUGAGAUGAUCUUGGAUAUCCAGCUGAUUCUGAAGAAUAGGUAUGCAAUGGAACUGCAUAAUGCUACCUCUUAGAUGGACCUAAGGAUUAUGGGAACACA